CGCUGGCGGCGUGCCUAAUACAUGCAAGUCGAGCGAAUGGAUUAAGAGCUUGCUCUUACUGAAGUUAGCGGCGGACGGGUGAGUAACACGUGGGUAACCUACCCAUAAGACUGGGAUAACUCCGGGAAACCGGGGCUAAUACCGGAUAAUAUUUUGAACUGCAUAGUUCGAAAUUGAAAGGCGGCUUCGGCUGUCACUUAUGGAUGGACCCGCGUCGCAUUAGCUAGUUGGUGAGGUAACGGCUCACCAAGGCGACGAUGCGUAGCCGACCUGAGAGGGUGAUCGGCCACACUGGGACUGAGACACGGCCCA
This 312-nucleotide ribosomal RNA is filed under the name Bacillus sp. SN16. Its description in RNAcentral is "bacterial SSU rRNA". It matches the Rfam family "Bacterial small subunit ribosomal RNA", at positions 34 to 333 of the family's 1533-position model. The record is from RNAcentral. Lineage: Bacteria; Bacillati; Bacillota; Bacilli; Caryophanales; Bacillaceae.